RNAcentral lists this ribosomal RNA (905 nucleotides) under human gut metagenome. RNAcentral describes it as "bacterial SSU rRNA". It matches the Rfam family "Bacterial small subunit ribosomal RNA", at positions 8 to 910 of the family's 1533-position model. The record is from RNAcentral.
AGAGUUUGAUCCUGGCUCAGGAUGAACGCUGGCGGCGUGCCUAAUACAUGCAAGUCGAACGAAUCUUCUUCGGAAGAUGAGUGGCGAACGGGUGAGUAAUACAUAGGUAACCUGCCCCUGUGCGGGGGAUAACAGGAGGAAACUCCUGCUAAUACCGCAUAGCCAUGAGCACCGCAUGGAGCUCAUGCCAAAUAUCCUUUCGGGGAUAGCGCAGGGAUGGACCUAUGGCGCAUUAGCUUGUUGGCGGGGCAACGGCCCACCAAGGCAACGAUGCGUAGCCGGCCUGAGAGGGCGGACGGCCACAUUGGGACUGAGACACGGCCCAGACUCCUACGGGAGGCAGCAGUAGGGAAUUUUCGGCAAUGGGGGAAACCCUGACCGAGCAACGCCGCGUGAGCGAAGAAGGCCUUCGGGUCGUAAAGCUCUGUUGUAAAGGAAGAACGGCGCAUACAGGAAAUGGUAUGCGAGUGACGGUACUUUACCAGAAAGCCACGGCUAACUACGUGCCAGCAGCCGCGGUAAUACGUAGGUGGCGAGCGUUAUCCGGAAUCAUUGGGCGUAAAGAGGGAGCAGGCGGCCGCAAGGGUCUGUGGUGAAAGACCGAAGCUAAACUUCGGUAAGCCAUGGAAACCGGGCGGCUAGAGUGCGGAAGAGGAUCGUGGAAUUCCAUGUGUAGCGGUGAAAUGCGUAGAUAUAUGGAGGAACACCAGUGGCGAAGGCGACGGUCUGGGCCGCAACUGACGCUCAUUCCCGAAAGCGUGGGGAGCAAAUAGGAUUAGAUACCCUAGUAGUCCACGCCGUAAACGAUGGUCACUAAGUGUCGGGGGUCAAACCCCGGUGCUGCAGUCAACGCAAUAAGUGACCCGCCUGAGUAGUACGUUCGCAAGAAUGAAACUCAAAGGAAU